ACAUUUCUAGUUUAAUUAAAAAUGUUAGUUUGUCAUACUAUAGAAGAAGAUUUACUUCGAGAUGUG
This 66-nucleotide transfer RNA is filed under the name Cotylurus marcogliesei. Its description in RNAcentral is "tRNA-Asp". It matches the Rfam family "tRNA". From Rfam's summary of the family: Transfer RNA (tRNA) molecules are approximately 80 nucleotides in length. Lineage: Eukaryota; Metazoa; Platyhelminthes; Trematoda; Diplostomida; Strigeidae. The record is from RNAcentral.